GGGCAUCCACAUUUCUUGAACGCACUUUGGGUUCCAUUAUCAAUAUUCUUGUGUUUCCCACCUUUAUCACAACCAAAUAUUAAUUUGUUACUUCUCCCUCUCUUGCAUGUUUCAGUAUCUGAACGAGUGAUAAUAACCGUUACUUCAUUAUCGAUUCCAACCUCUUUAAUCCAUCUGAUCACCUCUUCUCGUGUACCAAAUCUUUCAGUCGUUAUAAACGCAUCAGAAGUAUCUACACAUAUUUGGGGAAGAUUUUCCAUUCCUGCACAAUAAAUUUAAUCCAUCUGAUCACCUCUUCUCGUGUACCAAAUCUUUCAGUCGUUAUAAACGCAUCAGAAGUAUCUACACAUAUUUGGGGAAGAUUUUC
This 367-nucleotide long non-coding RNA is filed under the name Lathyrus oleraceus (garden pea). RNAcentral describes it as "Pisum sativum (pea) long non-coding RNA (PSAT_LNC032378)". Lineage: Eukaryota; Viridiplantae; Streptophyta; Magnoliopsida; Fabales; Fabaceae. The record is from RNAcentral.